This 606-nucleotide long non-coding RNA is filed under the name Gossypium barbadense (sea-island cotton). RNAcentral describes it as "long non-coding RNA (GBAR_LNC020696)". The record is from RNAcentral. Lineage: Eukaryota; Viridiplantae; Streptophyta; Magnoliopsida; Malvales; Malvaceae.
CUCACAUUGUUUCUUUUAUAAGAAACUAGACCCAAUAAGCUUUAGUUUCAUAUUUUAUUCAUCCUCUAAUUCAAUCUCUACAAUUUUUGGUGAUUUUUCAAAGUUACACUACUGCUGCUGUCCAAAACUGCUUUAGUGCAAAAUGUUGAUUUCCAUUUUCCCCCAAAUUUCACAGUUUAUACAAUUCGGUCCUUUCUCAAUUAACCCCUCAAUUAAUCUAAUUUUCUCAAUUAAUACUUUACCUAGACAUUAUAAGUUGUUACACAACUAUUGAAAUUCAGAAUUUCCACAUAUAACUCUAUCUUCAAACUCUUUUACUAUUAGGUCCUAAACAUUCACUUUCUAUUCAAUUCUUUCAAUAAAAUCAGCAUAUGAACAAUUUAAAGCUCUAAUUUCAUGAUAAAUCAUCAUAUAAUUCCAGCACAUUUUCAUAUCAACUUUCAACUUCUUUCAUAAAAUCAAAAACUAAUGAAUUUAACAAAUGGGCCUAGUUGUAAAAGUCAUAAAAAUACAAAAAUUUCAAGAAAUAGUCAAGAAUUGAACUUACUUGUAAUAAAAAUAUGAAGAACCAGCUUGAAGAAGCCCUUCCAUGGUGUUUUAGCUGAU